AUGGCAUCACCGAGGCCAAGCCCUUUAGCAGCCCGUCGGAAUACUUUGGCAGGCAUAUGGAUCUCCAAGGAAGGCAGGAUCUCUCUGCAAUGGAUCAGGCGUCCUUCCAACCGCACGCCGGCUGCCCCGGCUGCAAAGGUGGCUGAGCGCCUUGUUUUUCGCAGCCUGGGCAUAACCAAAGAUGGUGAAGAUGUCACCGCUUCGACCCUGAAUGUGUUCACGGAGAGAUUCAAGGAGCAGCUCCCUCCUGAAGUGAUUGUGGCCAUGAGGGAUUUUUUCAAGCUUGACGAUAGUGCUAUUGCUGUUGUCGAGGACGCGCUGAUAGACCACGGUGGUGCAGCGGCUAUGGACUCUGUGGGGCUGGAACAAGAUGGCCAGGGAUCGCAGCCGGCGAUCGCCUGA
This 402-nucleotide ribosomal RNA is filed under the name Triticum aestivum (bread wheat). RNAcentral's name for it is "partial small subunit ribosomal RNA". Lineage: Eukaryota; Viridiplantae; Streptophyta; Magnoliopsida; Poales; Poaceae. The record is from RNAcentral.